AUGGGUCUCGACUCCAAAUGGGGCGGGCUCGGUUGGAUACAUACGGCGACCCUCCACGUUUUGGCUAGUCUAUGGAACGUGGACUGCCAAAUAUUCCCGUUUCCCCUCUUCCCGCCGAUGCAGGGGGACAUGUUUGGGGGCUUUGGUGGCGGCGGCGGGUUUGGGGGAGGAGCAGGAGGGUUCGGAGGUGGUUUUGGAGGGGGUGGAGGGUUCGGCGGCGGCGGGAAUAUUCUCCCGUUCCCCCUUUUUCCGAUGCCAUUUGACAUGGGAGGAUUUGGACAGCCAGGCGUCAUAAUCACCAACAUCACUAUUCCUGGAGGACCGGCGGGUCCUGGAGGAUCAGGACCUGGAUCGUCACCUCGGCCGACCGGCGGCGGGACUGCCCCAGGCGGCUCGACGCCUUCAGGAGGAGGGAGCUCGCGGCCUCCAUCGGGCCCUAGCUCAUCGCCGAGACCCUCGGGACCUCCAGGAGGCGGAGGAACAGGAGGCGGAUCAGGUCAAUCAGGUCGGCCAGGAGGUCCGGGGGCAGGCGGGCCUCCCGGAGGAGCAGGCGGCCCCGGGGGAGGUGGUUCCCCGGAGGUUCGGGAGCUCCAGGCGGGGCGCGACCCCCUGGAGCAGGGGGGCCUGGGGCUCCAGGAGGAGGCAGCUCACCCCGACCUCCAUCAGCCCCGGGUGGGGCAGGCGGGGGAUCCUCCCCAAGACCCGGAGGUGCACCAGGAGGAGCCGGCGGACCCGGAGGUGGUGGACCUGGCGGUCCUGGCGGGAGACCCGGUAGUGCACCAGGAGGAGCAGGGGGGCCUGGAGGUGGUGGACCAGGUGGACCAGGUGGGGGUUCGUCCCCAAGACCCGGUGGUGCACCCGGAGGAGGUGGACCAGGCGGGGCAGGUGGGGGCUCGUCCCCAAGACCCGGUGGCGCUCCGGGUGGAGGUGCACCAGGGGGAGGUUCAGCACCAGGGGGAGGGGCUAGACCAACUGGCGCCGGUGGACCUGGUGGUCCUGGGGGUGCAGGGGGUGCAGGUGGACCUGGAGGAGCAGGUGGAGGUUCUGGUGGACCUGGAGGUUCUGGAGGUGCCGGUGGACCUGGAGGUCCGGGCGGUGGUGGACCUGGUGGUGGAGGAGGAGGUUCAUCGCCAAGACCGAUGCCAGGGUCGAGUCCCCGACCUCCAAGUGGACCUGGCACAUCUCCUCGACCUUCUGGACCCCCUGGACCACAACCAACAAGACCCCCCACCACCGCCACCGUAUACUACAUCUAUCCUCAAUGGUGUAAUGUAUGGUGCCGUCUGUACUAUAAACCAAAACCGGUGUACUACACGCCAUCUUGUCUACUUUAUGGCUGGAUGGGCUAUGGUGGCGGUUUUGGCUGGUAGAAGUUUCUUUUAUGGGUAUCGUCAUCAUCGGCUGAACAGUUGGACUCCAACGCUUUACAUUAUUACAUAAGUUCCUUACUUUCUAAUCCCUCUGUUGCUAGAAACUAGUUGCUAAAUGAAAAUAUUCUGUAAUUAUCAUUCUGUUUAGUAAAACAUAGAAUCAAUUGAAGGUAUUUUGAAAAAAUAGAGAGAAAAUAGCUAGAAUGCCAAUAACAAUAGGUACCCACAUCGCAUUUUCUCGUACAUGAACUAGCUCUGUGAAAUCGGAACUAACUAGCUUUGUAGGUGUGAGAUACAUACCUAUUAUUUACUUUUGUUUUGUUAUGCAGACUUCUUAGAAGAAGAGUUUCUAACUUGAAUAUCUGCCUAUAAGAUGCUUAUGACAAAAUGACGACGCAAUAAGUGCCAUAUUUUUAGUCGGAUCUCAUGAGGGCAAAACAUUUUACCGAAAAAGCAUUGCAACUUGCAUUUAUAUGGCAUUUGAACUUUUGAAUGGUUCUUACUCUCAGGAUCAAUUUGAAUUAUUUCAUCACUUGCAGUUUUAAAUACUAGAAUGAAUAUGUCCGAUAAUGCACCAUGUAUGCAUACAAAAGUUAAAAUUUUAAGGAAUGUCACUUGCAUCAAAAAACUCGGAUACAGACAUUAACGGUCAAUUACGCCUUAAAGGCAUCGAGACCAACAAUGUGUACUACCAUGAUCAGUUUAAUCUUGAUUGUUUCUCCUUGUUCACUUCACUCUUUAGGCUUUUUUGGAUAGGUUUUUAUUAUCUUUUUUAUGAAAUGUUGCCCAGUAUUUAUGUCAAACAUUUGUUUUUAUUUUUAGGUAAUUUAUUUUCAAUGAAUUGUUGUUCAUCAUACUGUUCAUUACUAUUUAUUAUAGAUUAAAUUAAUUUAUUUAUACUUCAAUAAUUGCAAACAAACAUUUACUCUUAUUUGCAACGUGUUCCUCUAAAUGUAACUAGUCUCCCAUAGCCUCAUACUCAAAUAAAGAGGUAGUGGUUAUUGUAUUCCUAAAUGAAUCAGUGAGAACGAAAACACACCAACUCGAAAAAAUGAAAAUAAUAAAGACACACAUAAAACUGCACAGUAGGUGAAGAAAUUAGUCGAAGAAAAAGAUUUUUGGUGACGAAAGACAGGUACUUAGGCAUGGGCGCUUAAAGGGUCAAAGUUGAAACAGAUGCGCUAACUUCAAUUACCUGUAUGAAAAUGAACUGCCUCUGAUGAAAAAUGAGCGUUUUCGAGUUAUCGAGUGUUUUGCGUUUUCACUGAUUCAAUUUUGAUUCUUAAAAAAUCUUGAAGAGUCAGAUAAACUUAGCGGAGCAGUAAUAACCUACAUAUAUUCGCUAUGCCUGCCUGCAGACCUGCUGCAAACUUGUUUUUCCACAAAAAUAGUAAGACAGAGGUAAGUACGGUCCGCUUACUGCAAAGAUCUUUUGCCACAAUUUUUGUAAUGAAAUAGUUAGCUUGAGGCAAGAAUUAAUGAUAAUUUGAACAUCCAUGUACAUUUUCUGUGGCCAACGAAGAAUUACCUAGUUUUACAACUUAAAUGAAUGCUGCAAAGUACGCUCUCAGCCUUAAAAAUAGGGCACUGUUUUUAAGAUCUUCAGGACCUCUGGGAUAGACCUAGCAUCUUGUAUUUCAUCGAUGUAUACCUAAGCGAUAAAAAAUUACUAACUCUCACUCUUCUCUGAAAUAUGAAGAGAACGUCAUUUUAAAUUCUGGAGUUGUCACCUCGUAAUUAUUUGUGUCCUUUUAUGCAGGGCCGGAUUUACUUACUUGCCGCCCAUGGGCCGCCUAUAUUUUGCCGCCCCCUUCUCAUUCGUUUUGAAACAUCAGUAAAAACCAUCAAGUGAACGUGUCGGAGGG
RNAcentral lists this long non-coding RNA (3235 nucleotides) under Bemisia tabaci. RNAcentral's name for it is "lncRNA ENSSSA1UGG012045". Lineage: Eukaryota; Metazoa; Arthropoda; Insecta; Hemiptera; Aleyrodidae. The record is from RNAcentral.